This is a regulatory RNA element of Kerstersia gyiorum, 97 nucleotides long. It matches the Rfam family "traJ-II RNA". Lineage: Bacteria; Pseudomonadati; Pseudomonadota; Betaproteobacteria; Burkholderiales; Alcaligenaceae. The record is from Rfam.
CGGCAAGAUGUAUGUUGUACCGGUACGGGCGUUGCCCGAACCAGUCCAUCACCUGCCUUAUUCGCGUCGCUCAACAGGCCUCUUGCUCUGCGAGGCC